GUGACUUGCCUUCUGCAAGAGAGAAAACUCUCCAGCCUAGCAUUUCUCACAGGGCCACUAGGAAGAGACACUGAUAGAGAGGGAGGGAGACAGACAUUGUUUCUCCCUCUCCUCUGUACUGCUGCAGCCUAGCAGAGCUGGAGGGGUGGGGGAGGGGUUUGGUCUCUGCAGGCAGUAGUAGGAGAUGCAGCAGGAGGAGGAGCUGCUACCAGCCUUCCUGCAUGAGUAAGAGAGGAGACCGAGCCAGCUUCACUGAAGAAAGCACCGCCUCCGCUGAGCAGCACUGAAGAUCCAGGGAAGAAUCUCCUGAGGGUCUUGUUCUUCUACCUGGUUUUCCAGUCUGGUUAAAUUGCAUUGUUCCAAUGAAGAUAUAAAGCAGAGUGACCGUACCUUGCAACGGAGACAAACAAUGGAUACAUGAAGACUACGUAAUUAUUGGAUUUUCGGUUUCAUCUUCCGAUCUCUCGCCGCAGCGCCCAUAUGACCAGCUGAACAGUGUACAAUACCAGUGAAAGCUAUUACAUUUCAAGGCUGUUUGAAAAGGUUCUAUAGACAGAAACAGCAACAGUCUUACCAGAGGUUCAGUCAAGAACAGCAGAAGAAAGGAAAUAGAUUAUAAAAGAAUUCUCCAGGUAAAGCCCCGUUCUACUAAUGUCCACCUUCUGACAGACACUGGCGAAAUGAAAAAUCUAAAAAUAUAUUUCAAUGAUCUUGUCCAAAGGUCUCUGAAAAAUGGUGUAAAAAUCUCAGAUUGAUCAUCGUUCUGUAUUAUAUCUAAACUCUCAUUUAUUCUACAGGUACAGAGAAAAUUUUACAUCUUUAUUCAAAGAGAAGGACUAUGAAUAGAGGAGCCCAGUAUACACUAUACACUGCUAUAAAAUGAGAGUAUAAUAGAGGUAGGGCUGGGCGGUAUACUGGUUCAUACCGAAUACCGACAUUUUUGUGCUGCACGAUAUGAAUUUUAACCCAUACCACAAUACCGGUU
Long non-coding RNA from Hyla sarda, 985 nucleotides. RefSeq lists it as uncharacterized. The record is from RefSeq and is a predicted model, not a curated record. NCBI's taxonomy places the organism in Eukaryota, Metazoa, Chordata, Amphibia, Anura, Hylidae. The transcript has 3 exons.